Molecule: non-coding RNA, 111 nt
Filed under: Candidatus Alcium sp. P201
Lineage: Bacteria; Pseudomonadati; Bacteroidota; Bacteroidia; Bacteroidales
Description: Bacterium P201 TPP sequence
Rfam family: TPP riboswitch aptamer (THI element)
About the family: Vitamin B(1) in its active form thiamin pyrophosphate (TPP) is an essential coenzyme that is synthesised by coupling of pyrimidine and thiazole moieties in bacteria. The previously detected thiamin-regulatory element, thi box was extended, resulting in a new, highly conserved RNA secondary structure, the THI element, which is widely distributed in eubacteria and also occurs in some archaea. Analysis of operon structures identified a large number of new candidate thiamin-regulated genes, mostly transporters, in various prokaryotic organisms.
Source: RNAcentral
CGAUACCAAUAGGGGUGCCUUAUCCGCUUGCGGAUUGAAAGACAGGCUGAGAUCAAACCCUUUGCACCUGAUACGGAUAAUGCCGAGACAGGGAAUCGAGUUCCUCAUCAU